This 495-nucleotide ribosomal RNA is filed under the name uncultured bacterium. RNAcentral describes it as "partial 16S ribosomal RNA". It matches the Rfam family "Bacterial small subunit ribosomal RNA", at positions 28 to 507 of the family's 1533-position model. The record is from RNAcentral.
GACGAACGCUGGCGGCGUGCCUAAUACAUGCAAGUAGAACGCUGAAGGAGGAGCUUGCUCUUCUGGAUGAGUUGCGAACGGGUGAGUAACGCGUAGGUAACCUGCCUGGUAGCGGGGGAUAACUAUUGGAAACGAUAGCUAAUACCGCAUAAUAGUAGAUGUUGCAUGAUAUUUACUUAAAAGGUGCAAUUGCACCACUGCCAGAUGGACCUGCGUUGUAUUAGCUAGUUGGUGGGGUAACGGCUCACCAAGGCGACGAUACAUAGCCGACCUGAGAGGGUGAUCGGCCACACUGGGACUGAGACACGGCCCAGACUCCUACGGGAGGCAGCAGUAGGGAAUCUUCGGCAAUGGACGAAAGUCUGACCGAGCAACGCCGCGUGAGUGAAGAAGGUUUUCGGAUCGUAAAGCUCUGUUGUAAGAGAAGAACGAGUGUGAGAGUGGAAAGUUCACACUGUGACGGUAUCUUACCAGAAAGGGACGGCUAACUACGUG